CACGUAGGGCGCAAGCGUUGUCCGGAAUUAUUGGGCGUAAAGAGCUCGUAGGCGGUCUGUUGCGUCUGCUGUGAAAACCCGGGGCUCAACUCCGGGCCUGCAGUCGAUACGGGCUGGCUUGAGUGCGGUAGGGGAGACUGGAAUUCCUGGUGUAGCGGUGAAAUGCGCAGAUAUCAGGAGGAACACCGGUGGCGAAGGCGGGUCUCUGGGCCGUAACUGACGCUGAGGAGCGAAAGCGUGGGGAGCGAACAGG
RNAcentral lists this ribosomal RNA (253 nucleotides) under uncultured bacterium. RNAcentral describes it as "partial 16S ribosomal RNA". It matches the Rfam family "Bacterial small subunit ribosomal RNA", at positions 524 to 776 of the family's 1533-position model. The record is from RNAcentral.